This 207-nucleotide ribosomal RNA is filed under the name uncultured bacterium. RNAcentral describes it as "partial 16S ribosomal RNA". It matches the Rfam family "Bacterial small subunit ribosomal RNA", at positions 568 to 774 of the family's 1533-position model. The record is from RNAcentral.
CGCGUAGGCGGUUUUGCAAGUCAGAGGUGAAAUGUCUCGGCUCAACCGAGGACCUGCCUUUGAAACUGCAGAACUUGAGGUCGUGAGAGGAGACUGGAAUUCCUAGUGUAGCGGUGAAAUGCAUAGAUAUUAGGAAGAACACCAGUGGCGAAGGCGAGUCUCUGGCACGAAUCUGACGCUGAGGCGCGAAAGCUAGGGGAGCGAACG